This 245-nucleotide ribosomal RNA is filed under the name uncultured bacterium. RNAcentral describes it as "partial 16S ribosomal RNA". It matches the Rfam family "Archaeal small subunit ribosomal RNA", at positions 474 to 718 of the family's 1478-position model. The record is from RNAcentral.
UACCAGCACCCCCGAGUGGUCGGGAUGAUUAUUGGGCCUAAGGCAUCCGUAGCCGGUCUUGUAAGUCUUCCGUUAAAUCCACCUGCUCAACAGUUGGGCUGCGGGAGAUACUGCAGGACUAGGAGGCGGGAGAGGCGAGGGGUAUUCCUUGGGUAGGGGUAAAAUCCUCUGAUCCAUGGAGGACCACCAGUGGCGAAGGCGUCUCGCCAGAACGCGCUCGACGGUGAGGGAUGAAAGCUGGGGGA